This 498-nucleotide ribosomal RNA is filed under the name uncultured bacterium. Its description in RNAcentral is "partial 16S ribosomal RNA". It matches the Rfam family "Bacterial small subunit ribosomal RNA", at positions 28 to 507 of the family's 1533-position model. The record is from RNAcentral.
GACGAACGCUGGCGGCGUGCCUAAUACAUGCAAGUCGAACGAGAGCGACCGGUGCUUGCACUGGUCAAUCUAGUGGCGAACGGGUGAGUAACACGUGGGUAACCUGCCCAUCAGUGGGGGAUAACAUUCGGAAACGGAUGCUAAACCCGCAUAGGUCUUCGAACCGCAUGGUUUGAAGAGGAAAAGAGGCGCAAGCGUAUGCUGAUGGAUGGACCCGCGGUGCAUUGGCUAGUUGGUGAGGUAACGGCUCACCAAGGUCGUGAUGCAUAGCCGAACUGAGGGGGUGAUAGGCCACAUUGGGACUGAGACACGGCCCAAGCGCCUACGGGAGGCAGCAGUAGGGAAUCUGCCGCAAUGGACGCAAGUCUGACGGAGCAACGCCGCGUGAGUGAAGAAGGUUUUCGGAUCGUAAAGCUCUGUUGUUAGAGAAGAACAAGUGCUAGAGUAACUGUUAGCGCCUUGACGGUAUCUAACCAGAAAGCCACGGCUAACUACGUG